This 3823-nucleotide long non-coding RNA is filed under the name Coffea arabica (coffee). RNAcentral's name for it is "long non-coding RNA (CARA_LNC001565)". Lineage: Eukaryota; Viridiplantae; Streptophyta; Magnoliopsida; Gentianales; Rubiaceae. The record is from RNAcentral.
CUGCUUUCGGUUGGUCCGGCAAGGCUGCCGGUCAUGAUAGUUAUGGGAUUAUGAACUUGUGGGCUGUGGGAGUGCUCGGUGGCGCCCACCACCGCCACCAUCGGCUUUUCAGGCGUGCUACUGCUACCCCCUUGCAAUAAAGAAGCUGCAAUGAAACCAUGCAGAAAAUUACAAUAUAGCACGUGGUUAAGAAGCCUCCCAUCUCCUAUUGUGAUCCUAACUCUUAGCUUCUAAUGUUACCUGCAUGUGCAGGAAAUGCCAUGACCUGAUGACAGAAUAGAAACCUUAAAAAAAAAUAAUAAUGGAACCACAAAAGGAAUGACAGUCUUUUAGGGUGCAUAUUAAAAAUAGCAGACUUGGAAAAAAGCCAUGUUCAAAGUCCCAUUUCUCAAGGAAAGUGGACAACUCCAACUCCAACCCCAAAUAUUUAAAUGUCACCCAAAAUGAGAUAUGGUAUGUCUGCUAGCAGAAUAGAAAGCAAAGAAUUAAUUAUAUGUUGCAAUUUUGGAUUACGUGCAGCAUUCAGAAAAGCUUCACAUGCCCUUGUGGUUUUGUUCUGUAUGGUAUCAUUUCUCUUUUGUUAUGGAAAUUGAACUCGGGAUUCUAUCUUUCGAACAAUUCUCAAACUUUUUAACCGUUAUGACUGAAUUCAUUGCAGAUAAAAUGAUAGUAGCUUACUGGAGCCCCGACCUUCUUUAGCUUCUCUGCUGGAGUAUUUUAUCCAAGAAACUGCCAGUCAUAUCAAUUAUUAUGAGGAAUAAUGACCUAGGAAGCCGCCUCAAGUAUUAUUAGGUAAUUAAAAUUCUCUUUUUAUAUAAUGACGAUGAAGAUAAAUCCACAUGGUAUGACAAAAACGGUGGCUGGGGGUGGGGGCGGGGGGUUAUCCAGCUUCCAAUUGCGUUACUUAAAAGGCUGGCUGUUAAUGGAUUGAUGGCAAGUACGUGGCGCAGUUUUCGGCAUGACAAGUACCUAUGGAAUUAUUAAUAUUUUUGUCAGUGUUUCCCUUUGUAUUUACAUUAUUGCCCCUAUCAAACUAACCGUCUAAAUCACUCCUCCUUCUGAGACGUCCCAUGAACAUGGAACCCAGUCUCUGUGCCUAUAUCAGAUCGAUCUUAUGCCAGAGUUCAUUUUGAAUUAUUGUACAUAAGAAACCAUUAAAAAAAAAAAGAAAGCAAGAAAGAAAGAGAGAAACCAAUAUGAUUUUUUACAAUGUCAAAGCAAGAGGAUUGACGAUAAGGAAAAUUUAGUUAUACAAGUGAUUUGACCUCUUGGACUUUUUUUAACUUGGAUACAGACAAGGUCUGGGUUGAAAAACAGAUCCUACAAAUGUUUGAAUUGAUGCUUCAGAAAUGAGAUGAGCCAAAAGGAUUUUAAUGCAGUGAAGAAUCUGAUUCCAUUUCAUUUGGAAGCUACAGCCUGCAGAAUGGAGGAAAAUUGACAGGUUUUGUUACUGCCAAUUCCUCUUUGUCAUUUUAGUGAACAGAGAAAAUGGCCUUGAUAACAAAAAUUUUUGGCACACGUACUCAAAUAACUUGGGAUAAAUUCUUGAGGAAGCCAAAAUAGCAGCCCCAAUUUUACUCCGAGAUAGUAGUAUAAUUGUUGGGUUUGAGUUUUAUCCCAUCAAUCGUUUAUUUGAAUAAAAUCCUAGCCCAUAUUAUCAUGAUUGAAUACAUGAUACAUAUGCAAAAUCUUAAUUUUAAAUUUAAAUUAAGAUUAAUUAUUAUGCAUCUAACCGUGCAUUGACAAUGCAUCAAAGAUUAAUUAUGAAAGUAAUUAUGACAGAGAAACGGUUCCAAAACAUGGUCACGUUUUGAUGAUCAAUGUAAUUACUUCACGUAGACGCCAAGCUCUUUGACAAUAUUCUAGCCAUCCCAACAAAUCUUCCUUGAUUUUUCAGGAAGUAAUUUUUUUUUCUCUUUGGGUAAAAGAACAAUUAUCAAGAGAGAGAGAGAGUUGCUUGCUUACCUCUUGGUGAAAUUGCAAUGGAGCCAUAGUCUCUCUCACCAUUGGCAAUGGGAUUGGACUUCUUUUCGCCACCUCGCUGCUGCGACGCUUUUCUUGAAAGGCUUCUCUGUAACUUUUUUUUUUUUUUUUUUUUUAAUCCACAAAUUGACAAGCGUAUAUUAGGGACAAAAAGCACAUCCUUUAUAAAUUCUAGCAAUCGUCUUUCUAAACCUACUGUAGCAAUUGCUCAAAAAAAAUGUUUAUCAUUUUAAGUACUAGACUUUCCAAGGUUGAGGUUGGUCGGCGUUUGCUGAAACUGAUGACGACUAAAAUUCUGUGGAAUGGGAAUAUUGCUAGCCUCUUUAUUUUCAACGUUUCAUAAAUGAACAGAAGCCAUAAUGAAUAGGCAUUUAAGUGAGCUUUCAAGGUAGGCAAAAAAGGCAGUAGUAUUUAGAGAAAGAAAAUGGAAGAGAAAUGAUGGUCAAGACCAAAUAGGAAAAUACGAAGAAAAAUAUAAACAUAUUUUGAGCCAUAAGUAAAGCUUCAUAAGAUGCAGAAUGAUUGCAAAGAGAAUUGUAGAGUAUAUUAAUCAAGGAGAAGAAGUAACUGUAAUUCUGGAGUUGGCUUUGAUAUCUUUGUCAGUACUGAGAUGUGAUGCGAAACGCUCUAUAUCCACUAUGAAGCUAUCAGAUGCUUUCCGGGCUGUGUAGUCCUCCACACCAUUUGUUUGAUGGGAAACUGAUAUUUCCUGGGCACCUUUGUCUACCAAUUCACUGACUUCAUUGAUUGAGCUCAGAUUCUCAGACCCCAUAUGUUCCUGCAGCUGCAUAAUUGUCCAAGACAAGGACAUGCAGAUAAAUUAACUUUACUUAUCCAACAUCAUAUUAAUUGGAGAACCCUAAAGAGAGAGAGAGAGAGAGAGAGAGAGAGAGAGAGAGAGAGAGAGAGGCAGAGAGAAGUGAAGAAAGAAAUCGAUUCGGUUUUGAAGAAGUAGUCCUAUCAGGGGGUUCCAACUUCCAACUUCCAACGAAGCGGUUGUGGAAACAAUCUAGAAGAGUAGACAUGAAGAAAAUACAAAAUUAUAGUAAUAGAAAGGUACAAGCGAGAAGAAGCUCUGGUUACCAGCUUUGGAUUUUCCAUAAUUCCCCAACAACUUCCGACUUUCGGAGGGGAAAGAUGGUGAAAACAAGAAGGCCAGAGAGAAGAUUGAGAGAAAAAGAGAUUUGGAGGGUGACACUAACACCAACUUGCGUACCCCCAGUUGGCCGAGGGCAAAAUCACUAUCUACUAGUACCUGAUCCCAUUUGAUGCCAAAAAAACAAUUAGCAAGCUAGUAGGAUAGUCAACUUUGUCUUUAGGACUAAAGAAACUUAGUACUACUUAAUAUUGAGGUAAUUAAUAGAAUUUCUUAGUACUACUUAAUAUUGAGCUAAUUAAUAGAAUUUCUUCUCAUGAACCAAAUGAAAGGCUUCAGUUUUCAUUCAACUACUUCUAACUGCUAUCUAUGGUUAUUCAUUUAUGGCGUUGAAAUAUGUUGACAAACCUGAACACUUGCGCAAAGUCUUCCUCUUCUUCAACUUCGUGCUGUCUUUUCUUUCCUUAUCAACCAAUGAAACAGUUGCAAAAACUCACACGGCAAGAAGUUGGAUACGCAUGAAGAGAUGUUGGAAGUGAUAACGUGCAGGGGUUCUAACCGAUGUGUUUAUGUUUUUGAUUGCAACUGAAAGGCUUUUACCAGUAGUAUAUAGCACUGGAGGAUAGGAAAGAAAGGUUCAUCUGAGAAGAUGAGAGAGCAUCAGAGAAUUUCGAGGAUGAUUAGAGAGAGAAGAGGAGAGGUAAAGUGGGAGAGAGUUGGGAUUGGAAGAGAAAAACUUGGUAC